UGCAGGGGGGGGUUGGACUAGAUGACUUCUAAAGGUCCGCUCCAACCCAGAGCAUUCUAUGAUUUUGUGGAGAAACAAACCCCCUUACUUGAGGGGCUGCUGGCAGCAGGGCAGGGCUGCGGAACACUGGGGAGCCGUGCAGGCCUUGGUGCUCUAAGGACUGGUUCUUCUGUAGCAUGGAGCCCUGUGGCAGCUUUGGCUGGUACCUCUUCACCCAUGAGUGAGCCCACAGAGGGCUUGUGCAGGUGGGUAGUGGUGUCCCUCACAUUACAGCGUGAAGGGAUGCUUUAGGCUGCCACUUGCGGUAAGCGGUAUCUUGAGCAAUGUGACCACUGUAAAACAAGAGUGCUGCUGCUUCGUCAGUCAUAACUGCAUGUAUCUGUUACAAUUGCAUACCCUACAGAGAGUCAGGUGCGUGCAGUUACUGAAAGAGGUGCUUUGUAGGUGCUCAGAUAGAACGCAUAUGUGAUGUAUUCCAUGCAUCUGUUUAAUAAUUUGUGUGCUAGGCCCAUGCUCCAUUUGUUUCCACCUAUUUUUUUUUUUCAAACUCCUUGUUACAUUAAAACUGUUUGGAGUACAACACAAAAAUUCUUUUCUGUGUUAAUCAGCCAAAAAGAGCGAACAAGAGCUAAAAGAUGAAGAAAUGGAGUUGUUCACCAAAUAUUACAUGGAAUGGAAAGGAGGAAGAAAAAGUGUCAAUACGUCAUAUACGAACAUACCACGAUUUUACUACAGGUUGCCAGCUGAAGAUGAAGUCUUGCUUCAGAAACUAAGAGAAGAGUCUAGAGCUGUCUUUCUGCAAAGAAAAAGUAGGGAGCUGUUGGAUAAUGAAGAGCUGCAGAAUCUAUGGUUUCUACUGGACAAACAUCAGACCUCACCAAUGAUUGGGGAAGAAGCAAUGAUCAACUAUGAGAACUUCUUGAAAGUUGGUGAAAAAGCUGGACCUAAAUGCAAGCAGUUCUUCACGGCUAAAAUCUUUGCUAAAUUACUCCAUAAUGAUCCUUAUGGGAGGAUAUCUAUCAUGCAGUUUUUCAAUUAUGUCAUGCGAAAAGUAUGGCUUCAUCAGACAAGAAUAGGUCUCAGUUUAUAUGACGUGGCAGGACAGGGCUACCUCAGAGAAUCAGAUUUAGAAAACUAUAUUUUGGAACUCAUCCCUACUUUGCCGCAGCUGGAUGGUUUAGAAAAAUCUUUUUACUCCUUCUAUGUCUGCACAGCAGUUAGGAAGUUUUUUUUCUUUCUGGAUCCUCUCAGAACAGGGAAGAUAAAGAUACAGGAUAUUUUAGCUUGCAGCUUCCUGGAUGACUUACUGGAGUUAAGGGAUGAAGAACUUUCUAAAGAAAGUCAGGAAACAAAUUGGUUUUCUGCUCCUUCUGCAUUAAGAGUUUAUGGCCAGUACUUAAACCUUGAUAAAGAUCACAAUGGCAUGCUCAGCAAAGAAGAACUGUCCCGGUACGGAACAGGGACUCUGACAAACAUAUUUUUGGAUCGUGUCUUUCAGGAAUGCUUAACUUACGAUGGUGAAAUGGACUAUAAAACCUACCUGGACUUUGUGCUUGCAUUAGAAAACAGAAAGGAGCCUGCAGCUCUGCAAUAUGUUUUCAAACUGCUUGAUAUAGAGAACAAAGGAUACCUGAAUGUCUUUUCCCUUAAUUAUUUCUUUAGGACAGAGGGACAAGCACUUCAAUAUUUUUUCUUCAAAGUCAUUGUGCUCUACUGUAUGCUCAAAGUAAGAUGAACAAGGUACGUACAUCAUUCAGCUAAUUAAGUAAAACAUUCAGGCCUGCGCAAGGCAUAAUCUUAUAUCUGCAUUAUUUCUAUAUUGUAAUAAGUCUGCAAUUGAACGUGAACUUUGAUAGUGACUACAACCAUAUAAUUUUGUAAAAAUAAAACUUCUUAUCUGGAAGACUUUUUCUAGAAAGACUUUUUUUUUUUUAAGUGCCUUGGAAUCAUCAAAUAAUUUAGGGUGGAAUGGACCUUUGGAGGUCACCUACUCCCACCAUCUGCUCAGAGCAGGGCCAGCUUCAUGGUUAGGUCGAGUUUCUCAGGGCCUUGUCCAGGCGAGUUUUGGGUAUCUCCAAGGAGGGGACUCUGUGGCCUCUUUGGGCAAUGUGUUCCGGUGUCAAACUACCCUAUUUCACACUUUGUCAGAAAACGGAACCUUCUGAUUUGAGUAUAUUAAGCUUUGAGUGUUGAGUGACAAUAUCCAAGUGUGUGCAUAUCCCAUUUGCAGGGUGCUCAAACACUGGUCAUAAUGAAAGUUGGAUUCUUGCCAUAUUGACCAAGAACUGUGAACCUAGAGAUGUGCAUCAUUGAUUAUGCCUUAACUCACCCCUGCCUCACUUGGGGAAGAGAAUUGAUUGCAAGCCAUACCAUGAAUGCUUUGUUGCAGGGCAAUACAGCUUAAGAUGCAGAAGCAUUAAAAAAGUGCCAUACAGUGUCAGUAUAAUACUGCAUUACCUAUUCCUAACUUUUUUUUUUUUUAGGCUAUUCAGGAACAAAUGAAAAUCCAUGGACAAGAACCAGUUUCUUUUCAGGAUGUCAAGGAUGAAAUCUUUGAUAUGGUGAAGCCUAAGGAUCCUU
Molecule: RNA transcript, 2580 nt
Organism: Egretta garzetta (little egret)
Lineage: Eukaryota; Metazoa; Chordata; Aves; Pelecaniformes; Ardeidae
Gene: PPP2R3C
Gene name: protein phosphatase 2 regulatory subunit B''gamma
Exons: 12
Source: RefSeq, a predicted model, not a curated record